UGAUACGUAGGGUCCGAGCGUUGUCCGGAAUUAUUGGGCGUAAAGGGCUUGUAGGCGGUCUGUCACGUCGGAAGUGAAAACUCAGGGCUUAACCCUGAGCCUGCUUCCGAUACGGGCAGACUAGAGGGAUGCAGGGGAGAACGGAAUUCCUGGUGGAGCGGUGGAAUGCGCAGAUAUCAGGAGGAACACCGGUGGCGA
RNAcentral lists this ribosomal RNA (198 nucleotides) under uncultured bacterium. Its description in RNAcentral is "partial 16S ribosomal RNA". It matches the Rfam family "Bacterial small subunit ribosomal RNA", at positions 521 to 718 of the family's 1533-position model. The record is from RNAcentral.